GCCCGGUUGGUCUAGUGGUAUGAUUCUCGCUUAGGGAUUUGAACCCUGAGUCAAUUUGCGAGAGGUCCCGCGUUCAAUCCGCGGAUCGGGCC
Podospora conica is the source of this 92-nucleotide non-coding RNA. The record is from the annotation of a GenBank genome assembly. NCBI's taxonomy places the organism in Eukaryota, Fungi, Ascomycota, Sordariomycetes, Sordariales, Podosporaceae.